GAAUGGACUGGGUUACAAUUUUAUGAACUUUGAAAGUGUUGGAAGAACUACCUGAAGUCCAGUAUCUGGAAUCCAACACGAUCUGAUGGUAGCCAUAGCAACAGAGCCUAGUGAGGAGGCAAAGUGUGAGGAGAGACUUCCUUGAACCAAGCAGUAAUUCAGUCCAGUAGUCAAGGCAGCCAUAUGCUAUGGGCAACAGAUCUACUUGUCCAUAGGAUUUGCCACACUCAUAAGUCAUCUUGGUUGGGUGACUGCUUUGCUUCCUCCCUGAGCCCACCAGCCUUGGCAGCUUGCCACUGAUUGGAGAGUGUGAGUCUGUGAUCUGAGUUUGAUGUGAAGUCUGGCCACUCCACUGCAGGCAGAACUGAGGCUACAUGCUUGUGAAUGAUGAAGUACAUUGAGAAGAAACUCCUGCCUUCCCCUUAUCGAUAGGAAAUCUAGGCAAUGGUUCAUCCUGGAACAUCGAAUACUAGUGUCUUCCUGAUCAAUGAGCUGUUGAAUGAUGGAAAAGGCAUUGCAUUAAAUGCUUGGGAUACAAAGCAAAAGGAGAAAACAGUUCCUGACCUCAAGAAGCUUAUGUUCUAUUGGGGGAGUCAAAAUAUAAAUAAAAAGAUGAGGAAACUUGAGGUGAAGAAAGGUCAGAAUUUGCCCAGAAUCACACAGCUGACAAGUGUUGGCUCCUUGGGAUCCUGAUGU
RNAcentral lists this long non-coding RNA (696 nucleotides) under Monodelphis domestica (gray short-tailed opossum). RNAcentral describes it as "lncRNA (ENSMODG00000041085.1)". The record is from RNAcentral. Lineage: Eukaryota; Metazoa; Chordata; Mammalia; Didelphimorphia; Didelphidae.